This 253-nucleotide ribosomal RNA is filed under the name uncultured bacterium. RNAcentral describes it as "partial 16S ribosomal RNA". It matches the Rfam family "Bacterial small subunit ribosomal RNA", at positions 524 to 776 of the family's 1533-position model. The record is from RNAcentral.
UACGUAGGGUGCAAGCGUUGUUCGGAAUUACUGGGCGUAAAGCGCGCGUAGGCGGCUUUGUAAGUUAGAGGUGAAAGCCCGGGGCUCAACUCCGGAACUGCCUUUAAGACUGCAUCGCUUGAAUCCGGGAGAGGUGAGUGGAAUUCCGAGUGUAGAGGUGAAAUUCGUAGAUAUUCGGAAGAACACCAGUGGCGAAGGCGGCUCACUGGACCGGUAUUGACGCUGAGGUGCGAAAGCGUGGGGAGCAAACAGG